AGUGAACGCUGGCGGUAGGCCUAACACAUGCAAGUCGAACGGCAACAGAGUAAGAGCUGGCUCUUACGUGUGGCGAGUGGCGGACGGGUGAAAAAUACAUCGGAAUCUACUUUUUCGUGGGGGAAAACGUAGAGAAACUUACGCUAAUACCGCAUACUACCUACGGGUGAAAGCAGGGGCUCUUCGGACCUUGCGCGAUUGAAUGAGCCGAUGUCGGAUUAGCUAGUUGGCGGGGUAAAGGCCCACCAAGGCGACGAUCCGUAGCUGGUCUGAGAGUAUGAUCAGCCACACUGGAACUGAGACACGGUCCAGACUCCUACGGGAGGCAGCAGUGGGGAAUAUUGGACAAUGGGCGCAAGCCUGAUGCAGCCAUACCGCGUGUGUGAAGAAGGCCUUCGGGUUGUAAAGCACUUUUAUUGGGAAAGAAAAGAAUAAGGUUAAUACCCCGCUGUUCUGACGGUACCCAAAGAAUAAGCACCGGCUAACUCCGUG
This 492-nucleotide ribosomal RNA is filed under the name uncultured bacterium. RNAcentral describes it as "partial 16S ribosomal RNA". It matches the Rfam family "Bacterial small subunit ribosomal RNA", at positions 29 to 507 of the family's 1533-position model. The record is from RNAcentral.